Long non-coding RNA from Brassica oleracea var. oleracea, 1189 nucleotides. RefSeq lists it as uncharacterized. Lineage: Eukaryota; Viridiplantae; Streptophyta; Magnoliopsida; Brassicales; Brassicaceae. The transcript has 6 exons. The record is from RefSeq and is a predicted model, not a curated record.
AAUAGAAAAUAGAAAUAAACCUAAGCUACGUCUCUUAAUCAGCGACAAGAAGAUACGUCUCUUAUGAUUCCUUUUCCUCCCUCUUCACCUUCUCCAGAACUUCAUCCCACUUCAUCGCAGAUCAUGAUCAAUUAAAACACACGAUCUUGCUGGAGAGGCAUCGGCGGCACACGAUCCUGAAAAAAUGGCACACGCUACGUGUCUCAUCCUCUCUUCCUCCUCCAGGUUCGCUCGUCUCAGCUAUAGCACCAGAUUCCUCAGACACGCAAACCCUCUUCCCGUUCCUCGAUUCCGAUGCUAUUGCUCCGACGAGACCUCUUCUCCUUCUGUAAAGUAAAGCCCUUUGUAUUUGUCUCAUGCUUCUUCUUUAGUUACAAUUCUCUUUUUACUCUUCUGAUGGCAAGAAACGUGUGGUCUCUGGAGUCCAGCCUACAAGUUUAAUUCACCUCGGAAACUAUCUCAGCGCUGUCAAAAACUGAGUCACUCUUCAGGGGGGUGAGAAUGCUUCUGUGUCAUUGUUAACUUAUCCAGUUCUGAUGGCUGCUGAUAUCCUCUUGUAUAAGGUGAUGAUGCUUUACUGAUUCCAUUUUGGUCUCUCGGAUAAGACCACAGGAGGAUUCGUUGAACAAUGCAAUAGACAUGGUUGUUGGACCCCCUGGUAGGAUCCUUCAGCAUAUCGAAGAAGGAAACAUGGUCUAUGGAGAUAUCACAUAUUUGGUGCUGGAUGAGGCAGACACUAUGUUUGAUCGUGGCUUUGGUCCUGACAUUCGUAAGUUUCUUGCCCCACUGAAACAGCGUGCGUUGAAAACAAAUGACCAAGGGUUUCAAACCGUCUUAGUCACUGCCACCGGAAUAAGCACAUGGGCUUCCUCUUGAUACUCAAUAGUUUACAAUGAGCCUAAGAGCGACUGCAACGGAGGUCCAAGUGUGAUCCUUAGGAGGUCCAAGUGUGAUCCUUGAGAGGGCCGGUGUCGUUUGUGUUGCGUUGGGUCAAAAAUGGUUAACUCAUUUUCGACCGACCGCGUAGAAAAAAAAGGGCUCGAGUGAGAAAGGCGACAGAAAGGGCGAUUCCUCUCCGUGUGCUUUACGAAGGUUAACGAAAAUGGGACAAGAUUACUACAGUCAGCCCUCUUCAUCAUCAGAGUCUCUAGACAUAACCUCCCUUCUUGAAGCCGAAUGUCAGAUUUAC